UGGGGAAUAUUGGACAAUGGGGGCAACCCUGAUCCAGCGAUGCCGCGUGUGUGAAGAAGGCCUGAGGGUUGUAAAGCACUUUAGUUGUUGAGGAAGGUUGUGUGGUGAAUACCCGCAUGACUUGACGGUAAACAAAGAAUAAGCACCGGCUAACUCUGUGCCAGCAGCCGCGGUAAUACAGAGGGUGCAAGCGUUAAUCGGAAUGACUGGGCGUAAAGGGCGCGUAGGCGGCCCUAUAAGUCUCGUGUGAAAGCCCUCGGCUUAACUGAGGAUCUGCACGGGAUACUGUAGGGCUCGAGUUCGGGAGAGGAAAGCGGAAUUCCGGGUGUAGCGGUGAAAUGCGUAGAUAUCCGGAAGAACACCAGUGGCGAAGGCGGCUCUCUGGACCAUUACUGACACUGAGGCGCGAAAGCGUGGGGAGCAAACAGGAUUAGAUACCCCCGUAGUCCCUGAGCGGGCUGGCAAGGCGCAU
Molecule: ribosomal RNA, 472 nt
Filed under: uncultured bacterium
Lineage: Bacteria
Description: bacterial SSU rRNA
Rfam family: Bacterial small subunit ribosomal RNA
Source: RNAcentral